This 530-nucleotide ribosomal RNA is filed under the name uncultured bacterium. RNAcentral's name for it is "partial 16S ribosomal RNA". It matches the Rfam family "Bacterial small subunit ribosomal RNA", at positions 355 to 874 of the family's 1533-position model. The record is from RNAcentral.
UGGGGAAUAUUGCACAAUGGGCGCAAGCCUGAUGCAGCCAUGCCGCGUGUGUGAAGAAGGCCUUCGGGUUGUAAAGCACUUUCAGCGAGGAGGAAGGUGGUGAGCUUAAUACGCUCAUCAAUUGACGUUACUCGCAGAAGAAGCACCGGCUAACUCCGUGCCAGCAGCCGCGGUAAUACGGAGGGUGCAAGCGUUAAUCGGAAUUACUGGGCGUAAAGCGCACGCAGGCGGUUUGUUAAGUCAGAUGUGAAAUCCCCGGGCUCAACCUGGGAACUGCAUUUGAAACUGGCAAGCUAGAGUCUCGUAGAGGGGGGUAGAAUUCCAGGUGUAGCGGUGAAAUGCGUAGAGAUCUGGAGGAAUACCGGUGGCGAAGGCGGCCCCCUGGACGAAGACUGACGCUCAGGUGCGAAAAGCGUGGGGCAGCAAACAGGAUUAGAUACCCUGGUAGUCCACGCUGUAAACGAUGUCGAUUUUGGAGGUUGUGCCCUUGAGGCGUGGCUUCCGGAGCUAACGCGUUAAAUCGACCGCCU